Molecule: long non-coding RNA, 510 nt
Filed under: Phascolarctos cinereus (koala)
Lineage: Eukaryota; Metazoa; Chordata; Mammalia; Diprotodontia; Phascolarctidae
Description: lncRNA (ENSPCIG00000033511.1)
Source: RNAcentral
GCCAGUCUGAUGGAAUAUACAUGUUAUGCUAUGCAUUAGAUCCCACAAAAAAAGGGAAUUCAAGACUAAAAGUGUACUUUUAUUAUCAUAGGUAAUUGAUACAUUAUCGAAGCCUAUGUCUCUUUAUCUUUGUCUUGCACAGCAAAGUCUGAAACAUGAGGACCUCUUCUUACCUCCCACCCAGCAAAAGGAAACAGGUGGAGCUACCCAAAACCAUGGCUCUUGGUCAUUCUCCUGCUUAUGAAUCCCUCCACCAGAAAGAACAGAUGGAAUGGACCGGAUCAGCCCAUUUUGUGGCUGCCACCUGGUAUGUUGACUCCCCGAGGACAAGGACAAGGACUAUUUGCCAGCACCUUAUGUAUGGAAACUAGGAGUAUAAUAACUACAAGCACCCCAGACCUCAGGAGCAAAACAGCAGGAAAUAAAAUCAGGAUGGAAGAGGCAAAAUGUUGCCACAUGGACUCCCAGAAAUCUCAAGCCCCUUUUGAAGAACAGCCUUCUACAAGCUAG